AAGAAAGAAAGAAAGAAAGAGAAGUAUUAUUUUGAGCUAAGUAAUCACAGUUUAAAAAUAAUAUCAAUAUCAGUAUAAAAUAUCAAAAUAGCUCAUAGAUCAAUACAAUUUUACCAAAUUGCAUUGAAGGCCGAAGGACAUUAAAACAAAAGAAACUAAACGAAUACUGCUCAUCAGAAGACUUGUUUCCUCCAAAAAAAA
RNAcentral lists this unclassified non-coding RNA (201 nucleotides) under Hevea brasiliensis (rubber tree). Lineage: Eukaryota; Viridiplantae; Streptophyta; Magnoliopsida; Malpighiales; Euphorbiaceae. The record is from RNAcentral.